CGCUAUCACUCCUACGGGAGGCAGCAGUGGGGAAUAUUGCACAAUGGGCGCAAGCCUGAUGCAGCCAUGCCGCGUGUGUGAAGAAGGCCUUCGGGUUGUAAAGCACUUUCAGUCGUGAGGAAGGUAGUGUAGUUAAUAGCUGCAUUAUUUGACGUUACCUACAGAAGAAGCACCGGCUAACUCCGUGCCAGCAGCCGCGGUAAUACGGGAGGGUGCGAGCGUUAAUCGGAAUUACUGGGCGUAAAGCGCAUGCAGGCGGCCUGUUAAGUCAGAUGUGAAAGCCCGGGGCUUAACCUCGGAAUUGCAUUUGAAACUGGCAGGCUAGAGUCUUGUAGAGGGGGUAGAAUUUCAGGUGUAGCGGUGAAAUGCGUAGAGAUCUGAAGGAAUACCAGUGGCGAAGGCGGCCCCCUGGACAAAGACUGACGCUCAGAUGCGAAAGCGUGGGGAGCAAACAGGAUUAGAUACCCUGGUAG
RNAcentral lists this ribosomal RNA (473 nucleotides) under uncultured bacterium. RNAcentral describes it as "bacterial SSU rRNA". It matches the Rfam family "Bacterial small subunit ribosomal RNA", at positions 328 to 793 of the family's 1533-position model. The record is from RNAcentral.